UAGCCUUCAUAAGAGAAACACAGCAGUGUGAGAUUCAUCAGUCACUUCGUUGACCAAAGCGUGUUCUGCAAUUGAGGCGCAAAGGACAGACGGUCGCGUGUAGAAUGAGAGAACUUCAUUUCAAAGACAACUUUUGGAACACUGACAUCACCAGCACUGGUGGCUAUGACAACAUCAUUCAGCAUCUGAAUGAAGGCAGGAGGACUUGCAAAGAGAUUGAAGACUUCAUGAAAGCAAGGGCUUCAAUUGAGGAGAAAUAUGCAAAGGAGCUUCUCAGUUUAUCCAAGAAGGUGUGUGGACAUAACGAAAUGAACACUUUAAAGCGAUCCCUAGAUGUCUUUAAGCUACAAACCGAAAAUGUGGGUUUGUCCCAUCUUCAGCUGGCUCACACUAUACGAGAGGAAGCAAAAAAAAUGGAGGAUUUCAGAGAGAAACAGAAAGAAACCAGAAAAAAGACAGAACACCAAAUGGAUGCCCUACAUAAGCAAAAGGCCACGCAAUACAAGAAAACCAUAGAGUUCAAGAAGACGUAUGAGCAAAAGUGCCGAGAUAAGGAGGAAGCAGAGCAGAACAUGAAUAGAAACGCCACCACAAGCAGUGUUAAACAGCAAGAAAAGCUGUAUUCAAAAACACAGCAAGCCAAGAAUUCAGCUGAAGAAGCAGAUAACAUGUACAAUAGCAACGUGUGCUUGCUGGGGAAGAUCAGGGAAGACUGGCAGAAAGAGUAUGUCAAAGCAUGUGAGUUCUUUGAGAACCAGGAAGUGGAGAGGAUCAGCACGGUCAGGAGCACAGUGUGGACUCAUCUCAAUCAGCUCUCACAACAGUGUGUCACCAGUGACGAGGUUUGUCUUCGGCUCUCACAACAGUGUGUCACCAGUGACGAGGUUUGUCUUCGGCUCUCACAACAGUGUGUCACCAGUGACGAGGUUCGUCUUCGCCGGUGUCCAUUCGUUUGGAGGGUUUCUUCAUUUUCUACUCUACUCUACUUUCAUAUACUGUAGUACAGCGACCAGGCGUAGAGGUUGGCGAGUCAGUUGACAUAAGUGGACAUACUAUAAGAUAUAAGGACAUACUAAAAGAUAUAAGGACAUCCUAUGAGAUAUAAGGACAUACUAUAAGAUUUAAGGAAAUGAGACAAAACGUGGUCUCAAAGGCUACAUCACAUGAACAAAAGUUUUACAGUUAUAUACAAACAUACGCAUACACUCACAGUCUCAUACACACACACACACACACAAACAUGCACACAAGCACAUGCAGUUAUAUAACAUCGGAUGGUAUAGAAUUUUCCAUAUUAUCACGAGGCCAUUGGUGUAAACAUACAGUUUCUGUUUUAAGCUUGAAUCACUGUUCCGUAGACAAACCACAAGGCGAGCAGACAGCACAUGAGCUGGCUCAUAAGGAAAGCAAAUGUGGACAGUUUAUGUCAGCAUUCUUGCAAAUCACAGAGCCAAGCCAGAGAAUUAUCACAAUGUAAACAAAGUGACAACCUAUCCACCAUGUUGUAUGUCUUGGUCACGUGUUACAACUAGUGGUAGAAAUAGCUUAUAAGUCACCUUUGAGUGACCUUUGACCCUGUGUUCUGUGGGGUUUAGUUGUAUGAAGACGUGAGGAAGUCACUGGAACAAUGUAACAUCCAGGAGGACAUUGCGCACUUCAUCAACCUCAGGAGAACUGGAGACAAACCACCAGCCCCUGUACCAUAUGAGAACUUCUAUAGCAACCAGAGACUCCCUCCACCACGG
Clupea harengus (Atlantic herring) is the source of this 1745-nucleotide RNA transcript. It is a transcript of the gene named proline-serine-threonine phosphatase-interacting protein 2, with no coding region annotated. The transcript is spliced from 12 exons. The record is from RefSeq and is a predicted model, not a curated record. Lineage: Eukaryota; Metazoa; Chordata; Actinopteri; Clupeiformes; Clupeidae.